CAGUCGAACGGCAGCACAGCAGUAGCAAUACUGUGGGUGGCGAGUGGCGGACGGGUGAGUAAUGCAUCGGGAUCUACCCAAACGUGGGGGAUAACGUAGGGAAACUUACGCUAAUACCGCAUACGUCUUACGAGAGAAAGCAGGGGACCUUCGGGCCUUGCGCGGUUGGACGAACCGAUGUGCGAUUAGCUAGUUGGUAGGGUAAUGGCCUACCAAGGCGACGAUCGCUAGCUGGUCUGAGAGGAUGAUCAGCCACACUGGAACUGAGACACGGUCCAGACUCCUACGGGAGGCAGCAGUGGGGAAUAUUGGACAAUGGGCGCAAGCCUGAUCCAGCAAUGCCGCGUGUGUGAAGAAGGCCUUCGGGUUGUAAAGCACUUUUAUCAGGAGCGAAAUACUACCGGCUAAUAUCCGGUGGGGCUGACGGUACCUGAGGAAUAAGCACCGGCUAACUUCGUGCCAGCAGCCGCGGUAAUACGAAGGGUGCAAGCGUUAAUCGGAAUUACUGGGCGUAAAGCGUGCGUAGGCGGUUAUUUAAGUCUGUUGUGAAAUCCCCGGGCUCAACCUGGGAAUGGCAAUGGAUACUGGAUAGCUAGAGUGUGAUAGAGGAUGGUGGAAUUCCCGGUGUAGCGGUGAAAUGCGUAGAGAUCGGGAGGAACAUCAGUGGGGAAGGCGGCCAUCUGGAUCAACACUGACGCUGAGGCACGAAAGCGUGGGGAGCAAACAGGAUUAGAUACCCU
This 740-nucleotide ribosomal RNA is filed under the name Dyella sp. LLH-Slr-16. Its description in RNAcentral is "bacterial SSU rRNA". It matches the Rfam family "Bacterial small subunit ribosomal RNA", at positions 59 to 788 of the family's 1533-position model. The record is from RNAcentral. Lineage: Bacteria; Pseudomonadati; Pseudomonadota; Gammaproteobacteria; Lysobacterales; Rhodanobacteraceae.